This is a small RNA of 88 nucleotides. It matches the Rfam family "BsrC". Rfam says of the family: The 301 nucleotide sequence from Kouji Nakamura has been trimmed to a highly conserved ~85 nucleotide long core to form this family. The record is from Rfam.
AAAACUAGAAACAAUGAAAGCCCUACCUCUCUUUCAUGCUUACGGCUCCUAGGCCGUGCCUGCUACGAACAAAGUCUUGAGUUUUUUU